RNAcentral lists this ribosomal RNA (253 nucleotides) under uncultured bacterium. RNAcentral's name for it is "partial 16S ribosomal RNA". It matches the Rfam family "Bacterial small subunit ribosomal RNA", at positions 524 to 776 of the family's 1533-position model. The record is from RNAcentral.
UACGGGGGGGGUAAGCGUUGUUCGGAAUUACUGGGCGUAAAGGGCUCGUAGGCGGCCAACUAAGUCAUACGUGAAAUCCCUCAGCUUAACUGGGGAACUGCGUGUGAUACUGGAUGGCUUGGAUUUGGGAGAGGGAUGCGGAAUUCCAGGUGUAGCGGUGAAAUGCGUAGAUAUCUGGAGGAACACCGGUGGCGAAGGCGGCAUCCUGGACCAAUACUGACGCUGAGGAGCGAAAGCCAGGGGAGCAAACGGG